AGUUGCGUGACUGACGGAGAGUGGGAUAACCCACGGGGAGCGCAACAUUUUGAAGCCGACCGUCUGGGCAACCG
Molecule: non-coding RNA, 74 nt
Filed under: uncultured Butyrivibrio sp.
Lineage: Bacteria; Bacillati; Bacillota; Clostridia; Lachnospirales; Lachnospiraceae
Description: ZMP/ZTP riboswitch
Rfam family: ZMP/ZTP riboswitch aptamer (pfl RNA motif)
About the family: Previously known as pfl RNA. ZMP is also known as AICAR.
Source: RNAcentral